RNAcentral lists this ribosomal RNA (499 nucleotides) under uncultured bacterium. Its description in RNAcentral is "partial 16S ribosomal RNA". It matches the Rfam family "Bacterial small subunit ribosomal RNA", at positions 29 to 523 of the family's 1533-position model. The record is from RNAcentral.
AGUGAACGCUGGCGGCAGGCCUAACACAUGCAAGUCGAGCGGCAGCGCGGGGGCAACCCUGGCGGCGAGCGGCGGACGGGUGAGGAAUUCGUCGGAAUCUGCCUUUUGUGGGGGAUAACGUAGGGAAACUGACGCUAAUACCGCAUACGACCUACGGGUGAAAGUGGGGGCCCGCAAGGCCUCACGCAGAAAGAUGAGCCGACGAGCGGUUAGCUAGUUGGUAGGGUAAAGGCAUACCAAGGCGACGCUCGGUAGCUGGUCUGAGAGGAUGAUCAGCUACACUGGGACUGAGACACGGCCCAGACUCCUACGGGAGGCAGCAGUGGGGAAUAUUGGACAAUGGGCGCAAGCCUGAUCCAGCCAUGCCGCGUGUGUGAAGAAGGCCUUCGGGUUGUAAAGCACUUUUGUCCGGAAAGAAAUCUUCCAACUUAAUACGUUGGGAGGAUGACGGUACCGGAAGAAUAAGCACCGGCUAACUUCGUGCCAGCCGCCGCCGUAA